This is a long non-coding RNA of Oncorhynchus keta (chum salmon), 4177 nucleotides long. RefSeq lists it as uncharacterized. The record is from RefSeq and is a predicted model, not a curated record. The transcript is spliced from 5 exons. Lineage: Eukaryota; Metazoa; Chordata; Actinopteri; Salmoniformes; Salmonidae.
CAGGACAGAGGAGGUGAGGUGGACAGGACAUAGGAGGUGGUGAGGACAGAGGAGGUGAGGAGGACAGAGGAGGUGAGGUGGACAGGACAGAGGAGGUGGUGAGGACAUAGGAGGUGAGGAGGACAGAGGAGGUGAGGAGGACAGAGGAGGUGAAGAUGGAAGCCUGCUACGAGAACAGCCAUCUAGUGGUGGGAUCACAGUCUAGCGAACUAACCAGCCAGACAGACACACAUGGUUAACACUUGUUGGCCACAGAGUUUGGGAAGUGUUUUCGAACGGCCUUUCUGACUGUUCACUCAGGAAGGGUGUGAAUGUCCCAACACCUUUUUGUUUCAAUAGACAGAGCAGUGUGAGAGAAACAUUCACGUACUCAACUCGUAGUAGGUCGAAAUGUUGUGACAUGAAAAUAUCACCUUUCAACGAAUUCAGCGUAAAUGUGUUGAGUAGCGGCGUUUGUUUGUUUGUAGUUGAACAACGGCUGUUCUAACGUGUAGCACGUUAAUUAAACAUGUUACUGGGCCCAAUGCGUCUAAUUUGAACUGAAAUGUGACGAUUGUAAGCAAAGUCGAAAACGGGGUCGAAAGUUGAACUGAGGUUUGAGGUUGUUGUUCUAACGUUGUCGGGUCACAAUGGAGAGGAUGUGGGUUGUCCUGCAUCUGUCACUGUGGUUUUCACACACACACACACACACACACACACACACACACACACACACACACACACACACACACACACACACACACACACACACACACACACACACACACACACACACACACACACACACACACACACACACACACACACACACACACACACACACACACACACAGACACACACACACACACACACACACACACACAGACACACAGACACACAGACACACAGACACACACACACACAGACACACACACACACAGACACACACACACACAGACACACACACACACAGACACACACACACACACACACACACACACACACACACACACACACACACACACACACACACACACACACACACACACACACACACACACACACACACACACACACACACACACACACACACACACACACACACACACACACACACACACACACACACACACACACACAGACACACACACACAGACACACACACACACACACACACACACACACACACACACACACACACUAACCACUAGACUACCUGCCGCCCCUACACUAACCACUAGGCUACCCUGCCGCCUCUACACUCUAACCACUAGACUACCUGCCGCCCCUACACUAACCACUAGGUUACCCUGCCGCCUCUACACUCUAACCACUAGACUACCUGCCGCCCCUACACUAACCACUAGGUUACCCUGCCGCCUCUACACUCUAAACGCUAGGCUACCCUGCCGCCUCUACACUCUAACCGCUAGGCUACCCUGCCGCCUCUACACUCUAACCACUAGACUACCUGCCGCCCCUACACUCUAACCACUAGACUACCUGCCGCCCCUACACUCUAACCACUAGACUACCUGCCGCCUCUACACUCUAACCACUAGACUACCUGCCGCCCCUACACUCUAACCACUAGGCUACCCUGCCGCCUCUACACUCUAACCACUAGGCUACCCUGCCGCCUCUACACUCUAACCACUAGGUUACCCUGCCGCCUCUACACUCUAACCACUAGACUACCUGCCGCCCCUACACUAACCACUAGGCUACCCUGCCGCCUCUACACUCUAACCACUAGACUACCUGCCGCCCCUACACUAACCACUAGGCUACCCUGCCGCCUCUACACUCUAACCACUAGACUACCUGCCACCCCUACACUAACCACUAGGUUACCCUGCCACCUCUACACUCUAACCACUAGACUACCUGCCGCCCCUACACUAACCACUAGGUUACCCUGCCGCCUCUACACUCUAACCACUAGACUACCUGCCGCCCCUACACUCUAACCACUAGGCUACCCUGCCGCCUCUACACUCUAACCACUAGGCUACCCUGCCGCCUCUACACUCUAACCACUAGGUUACCCUGCCGCCUCUACACUCUAACCACUAGACUACCUGCCGCCCCUACACUAACCACUAGGCUACCCUGCCGCCUCUACACUCUAACCACUAGACUACCUGCCGCCCCUACACUAACCACUAGGCUACCCUGCCGCCUCUACACUCUAACCACUAGACUACCUGCCACCCCUACACUAACCACUAGGUUACCCUGCCACCUCUACACUCUAACCACUAGACUACCUGCCGCCCCUACACUAACCACUAGGUUACCCUGCCGCCUCUACACUCUAACCACUAGGCUACCCUGCCGCCUCUACACUCUAACCACUAGGCUACCCUGCCGCCUCUACACUCUAACCACUAGGCUACCUACCUCCUCUACACUCUAACCACUAGGCUACCCUGCCGCCUCAACACUCUAACCACUAGGCUACGCUGCCGCCUCUACACUCUAACCACUAGGCUACCCUGCCGCCUCUACACUCUAACCACUAGGCUACCCUGCCGCCUCUACACUCUAACCACUAGGCUACCUACCUCCUCUACACUCUAACCACUAGGCUACCUACCUCCUCUACACUCUAACCACUAGGCUACCUACCUCCUCUACACUCUAACCACUAGGCUCCCUGCCGCCUCUACACUCUAACCAAUAGGCUCCCUGCCAGCUCUACACUCUAACCACUAGGCUACCCUGCCGCCUCUACACUCUAACCACUAGGCCACCCUGUCGCCUCUACACUCUAACCACUAGGCUCCCUGCCAGCUCUACACUCUAACCACUAGGCUACCCUGCCGCCUCUACACUCUAACCACUAGGCUACCCUGUCGCCUCUACACUCUAACCACCCGGCUCCCUGCCGUCUCUACACUCUAACCACUAGGUUCCCUGCCGCCUCUACACUCUAACCACUAGGCGACCUACCUCCUCUACACUCUAACCACUAGGCUAGCCUGCCGCCCCGUUUCAUACUGAUAAAACUGUUGCAGCUAAACCUUUCUAACUUCACCACAUGUUCUAUUUUUGUGGUAAAUCAAAUUAAAAUAAAAUACCAUUUAAGAUGAAUUAUUGAAGUCUGUGUUAGCGUGCCGUAGCCUAAUGAUAAUCGUAAUAUGCAUCUCUGUAAUCAUCCCAAAUGGCACCUUUGUUCCCUAUGAAGUGCCCUACUGUUGACCAGAGCCCUGUGGGCUCUAAUCGAAGGUAGUAGAGUGACAUUUUGGGACACAUCUUGACCACGUUUUACAGCUUCUAACAAUCAGCCCUGAAGCAGGAAGUACAUUACAGGAAGUACAUUACAAUAACGUUUACAGCUUUUUGCUCUUCACCACCUCUAACAUCCUGUAGGAGAGAAACAGGUACUAUUAGACAUAGCAGAGAGAAACAGGUACUAUUAGACACAGCAGAGAGAAACAGGUAUUAUUAGACACAGCAGAGAGGAAACAGGUACUAUUAGACACAGCAGAGAGAAACAGGUAUUAUUAGACACAGCAGAGAGGAAACAGGUACUAUUAGACACAGCAGAGAGAAACAGGUAUUAUUAGACACAGCAGAGAGGAAACAGGUACUAUUAGACACAGCAGAGAGGAAACAGGUAUUAUUAGACACAGCAGAGAGAAACAGGUACUACUAGACACAGCAGAGAGAAACAGGUAUUAUUAGACACAGCAGAGAGGAAACAGGUACUACUAGACACAGCAGAGAGGAAACAGGUACUAUUAGACACAGCAGAGAGAAACAGGUACUAUUAGACACAGCAGAGAGAAACAGGUACUAUUAGACACAGCAGAGAGAAACAGGUACUAUUAGACACAGCAGAGAAACAGGUACUAUUAGACACAGCAGAGAGAAACAGGUCCUAUUAGACACAGCAGAGAGAAACAGGUACUAUUAGACACAGCAGAGAAACAGGUACUAUUAGACACAGCAGAGAGAAACAGGUCCUAUUAGACACAGCAGAGAGGAAAGAGAGAGGGGGAAAGUGCCAGCCUCUCUGAAACACUCUGACAGAGAGAAACAGGUACUAUUAGACACAGCCGAGAGGAAAGAGAGAGGGGGAAAGUGCCAGCCUCUCUGAAACACUCUGACAGAGAGAAGUCUGUUGUUUCAGCACACAUAGUGACUGGUGAUUUUGUACCUUGCCUUCAUCCACCCUCCUUCCCCAUUCCU